This is a long non-coding RNA of Oncorhynchus nerka (sockeye salmon), 1305 nucleotides long. RefSeq lists it as uncharacterized. The transcript has 5 exons. The record is from RefSeq and is a predicted model, not a curated record. NCBI's taxonomy places the organism in Eukaryota, Metazoa, Chordata, Actinopteri, Salmoniformes, Salmonidae.
AGGCAGGCUAGUGCGUGGUUAGGGUUAGGGUAGGGUUAAAUUGAGGCAGGCUAGUGCGUGGUUAGGGUUAGGGUAAGGUUAAAUUGAGGCAGGCUAGUGCGUGGUUAGGGUUAGGUAAGGUUAAAUUGAGGCAGGCUAGUGUGUGGUUAGGGUUAGGGUAAGGUUAAAUUGAGGCAGGCUAGUGUGUGGUUAGGGUUAGGGUAAGGUUAAAUUGAGGCAGGCUAGUGUGUGGUUAGGGUUAGGGUAAGGUUAAAUUGAGGCAGGCUAGUGUGUGGUUAGGGUUAGGGUAAGGUUAAAUUGAGGCAGGCUAGUGUGUGGUUAGGGUUAGGGUAAGGUUAAAUUGAGGCAGGCUAGUGUGUGGUUAGGGUUAGGGUAAGGUUAAAUUGAGGCAGGCUAGUGCGUGGUUAGGGUUAGGGUAAGGUUAAAUUGAGGCAGGCUAGUGCGUGGUUAGGGUUAGGGUAAGGUUAAAUUGAGGCAGGCUAGUGUGUGGUUAGGGUUAGGGUAAGGUUAAAUUGAGGCAGGCUAGUGCGUGGUUAGGGUAAGGUUAAAUUGAGGCAGGCUAGUGCGUGGUUAGGGUUAGGGUAAGGUUAAAUUGAGGCAGGCUAGUGCGUGGUUAGGGUUAGGGUAAGGUUAAAUUGAGGCAGGCUAGUGUGUGGUUAGGGUUAGGGUAAGGUUAAAUUGAGGCAGGCUAGUGUGUGGUUAGGGUUAGGGUAAGGUUAAAUUGAGGCAGGCUAGUGUGUGGUUAGGGUUAGGGUAAGGUUAAAUUGAGGCAGGCUAGUGUGUGGUUAGGGUUAGGGUAAGGUUAAAUUGAGGCAGGCUAGUGUGUGGUUAGGGUUAGGGUAAGGUUAAAUUGAGGCAGGCUAGUGUGUGGUUAGGGUUAGGGUAAGGUUAAAUUGAGGCAGGCUAGUGCGUGGUUAGGGUUAGGGUAAGGUUAAAUUGAGGCAGGCUAGUGUGUGGUUAGGGUUAGGGUAAGGUUAAAUAGAGGCAGGCUAGUGUGUGGUUAGGGUUAGGGUAAGGUUAAAUAGAGGCAGGCUAGUGUGUGGUUAGGGUUAGGGUAAGGUUAAAUAGAGGCAGGCUAGUGCGUGGUUAGGGUAAGGGUAAGGUUAAAUUGAGGCAGGCUAGUGCGUGGUUAGGGUUAGGGUAAGGUUAAAUUGAGGCAGGCUAGUGUGUGGUUAGGGUUAGGGUAAGGUUAAAUUGAGGCAGGCUAGUGUGUGGUUAGGGUUAGGGUAAGGUUAAAUAGAGGCAGGCUAGUGUGUGGUUAGGGUUAGGGUAAGGUUAAAUAGAGGCAGGCUAGUGUGUGGUUAU